This is a long non-coding RNA of Cyprinus carpio (common carp), 720 nucleotides long. Lineage: Eukaryota; Metazoa; Chordata; Actinopteri; Cypriniformes; Cyprinidae. The record is from Ensembl.
ACCCUGUACUUACAGUACGCUGUGUCCAGCCCAGAGGUGAAAGCCAUCCAAAGCAGAGUAACUGUGCUUUGCGUCCAAGUUGAUACCUGUGGAGAGGAAAGGAAAGAGAGAGUGAGUAACACAAGGAGAAACAGAGGAAACCUGUACUUACAGUACGCUGUGUCCAGCCCAGAGGUGAAAGCCAUCCAAAGCAGAGUAACUGUGCUUUGCGUCCAAGUUGAUACCUGUGGAGAGGAAAGGAAAGAGAGAUUGAUACCUGUGGAGAGAAAAGGAGAGAGAGUGGGUAACACGAGGAGAGACCGAGGAAACCUGUACUUACGCCGCUGCCUGUGGAGAAAGAGAAAGCGAGUGAGCACCCAAGGAACGAACUGUGUGAACCAGUACUUACUGUGAGCUGUAAUCAGCGAAGAGCCGUUGCCUGUGGAGGAAGAGAAAGAGAGUGAGCACCCCGAGAACGAACUGUGUGAACCAGUACUUACCGUGAGCUGUAUUCAGCGAAGAGGAGGAAGAAGGAGGGCGCUACGGAUACCUAAGACUCAGGCCGGGGCCCGAGUCCCACGCCCCGGAUCCCCGUGGCCCCCUUGCUCCCUGACCUCUUCCCGGCCAUAGCCCAUCUGGAGGGCCGAGUCAGAGUUUAGUUUUAAUUGCCCUUUCCCUAUUCCCCAAGCUAUUUUUAAAUAUUUAAAUAAAGAUUGUUUUAUCACUUACUUGUUCUCGUGU